GUUACUUAAUUUUCUUCAUUCCAGUACCAGUCCUUGUUAUGGUCUUCGCUGUUUUCAUUAGUUAUUAGUUAGUUAUCGCUGUGUCUAGUUAAGUGCCCCUUACCCUGUACGUGUAAACCCUGCCUUUUUACCCGUGUGGUGGCUGGUCAUUGUUGCUUCUAGCCGUUUGUUAAUCCUAAUUCUAGCUUUCGUUUAUCCUAUCCUCUGUGUGAUUCCUAGCGUCUUUGUUAUAGCGUUCCCUGGUUCUCAUCGCGUGCUUUUGUUUACGAUGUAUUCCCGGACUAAUUGGUAAAUUAGCCAUGGAUUGUGACUACCCCUCUGAUUGUGGUUUUUGUCCUUAAUAAUCUCGCUCUUCAAUUUGUGCAUCCGCCUCACAAGCAUUCUGGUUACAGAAUUAGCUCUCCAGGGACGCAGCGAUGAGAGCGAGACUGUGGUUGUUGCUUUGCGACAAAACUCCGACUGUUUCCACAAAGCGUGAGUCUGCUCCGUCUCAGUCAUGAUCCGUCUUGAUCAAUGCUGCAGGGAGGAGCGACCUGCAUCGCAAGAUGUACAAUUGCCCAACAGAGAGAACAGCACCAAAAUAUACAAUAUUGCAUCGCUUCCUGCCAAAUGAUGGAGUUACAAAGGAGAAGACACCCUGCCUGAAUGUUACCUGAACAGGGAAACAUACCGGAUGUAACACUAUCCAGCAGACAAUUUAGCUGCGUUAUAUUAUAUCCAGCAGAAGCGUUCUCUGAAACCACGUGAUUGUCUUGCAAGCCACUGAAUGGGUGGCGUUCGGAAUCCCCCACUAGGAAAUCCCAGUGACCACCAUGUACAAAUUUUCCCAGUGAAUGUUUGCCCUUCUGCAGUAUUAUGGUCAGCUUCUGCUUUAUUCGCUUUAUUCUAAGAUUUAUUCGACACCUAAAUGCUCUCUAUCAUCAGACGAGAUCAAUCGUAAUGAAAAGUUAAGAUAUUACGGAACGCCCUUAACAUUGGUGACGGUAGUGCGGCACCUAGUGGACAAGCGAUGCCUGGGCUGUAGAGGGAGGUUUGGAAAGAGGGUGUGGGAUUAAGAGGUGGGGCGGGGCCUUCAGAGGAUGUGUGGUGGAAAUUAGUACAAACUUCAAAAUCAUUGAAGCUUUAAUGUUAAAUAAUGACAAAUCUCAGUGGGUUUUUUGGUCAGAGGUAGUUAGUAGCCAGAACCCAUACUCAGGUGAAAGUAUUAUUGCUUUAAAAUAUUUAUAAUAAUUACUCAAGUCUCAUUUAAUAAUACUGGGAAACGAAAUUAUAACAUUUUUGUCCUACAAACUAAAACAAAUGGACCUUUAUUCUACUUAUGUACAAACCUACUUAUAAAAUGUACAGGUUGUGGUGAGUUGUGCAUUAAAUUAAAAUUAUUUCAGAUUUGACAGGAGGAACUUAAGGAAUGAAUUUAAGGAAAUAAAAGUAAAUUUUUAACCCCACAAAUGUAAGUGACUUGAGUAAGAGUUUAAAGUGGCAUGUUUUAAAAAAACAAGUAUUAAAAAUACAAUUUAUUCAAAACGUUUCUUAAGUAAAUAUAAUAUAGCAUGCUAUUAUCCACCUCUACUUUUCCAUAACAAAGA
Molecule: long non-coding RNA, 1586 nt
Organism: Electrophorus electricus (electric eel)
Lineage: Eukaryota; Metazoa; Chordata; Actinopteri; Gymnotiformes; Gymnotidae
Source: RefSeq, a predicted model, not a curated record